UGGCGAUUUUACUUUUCAAAUUACCUGUACAGCGCUAUCACUGCUUCAGCGCCACCUGUAGCAAGUUUUGGUACUAGAGUUCCGUGGCUUAGUGCUUUUCAUGUCAUCAUUCAUCACACUUUCACAACUCAGGUGGUUUACAUUAAAAAAUGUUCACAGUAAAGCUUAUGAUUUAAACUCUUUUACUGGAUGGAUGAUUCGCGUUUGCGCAUAUGAGAAGCUAAAAAUUCUACUGAUUUAAGACAAACAAAGCAAGCUGGUAGUGGAUAUAGCCUUGGAAAACAAGUUGAGUUGGUUCUUUGCUGUAUUACUUUUUUACAUGAACAACAACAUGUCUAUCAGUUUAAUAAUGGCAGCUGUUUGGAAAGGGUUGGGUUGGUUGAGGAAGGAUGUUCUGAAACCGAUAACCACUGGAAGUGUGUCCAGAAAUUGCCACCACCAUUUACAUUCUGUCACAUUGAGGUAUUCUUAUAAAGAGAUGUAAGUGUAUUACUGGGCUACCUUCUUUUAUGUGGCCUGUCUCCCCUUGACUCAUAAUAAUUAGUAGGUCAUACCCCUGCUGUGAUCAACAGUGAAUUUAUAGGGCUCUGACCAGAAAGAGGAUGUGGGGGUCCUCAAAGCCCAUUGAUGUCAUUGGAAGUUGAUGAUGCUACCCACUAAUCUGAAUCAAAAGUUAAUUGCUCCUGGAAAAAUGUUCUUUAUCUACUGCUCUUCUUCUGUCUUCUAUUAACCAAGAACUGGGGCCAAUUGAGUCCUUAGCAGGCAUUGUUACAGGUUUUUUUAUCAGAUAUUAUCAUAAUAUUGCUGAAUCACAUUGGCCAUGAUGAUUGCCUAAUCACAAGGAGUGAGCUCAACAGUCAUCUUUCAGACUGGGUUUCCACAUUUGUGUUUAAGAUAUUUCAUCUGAUUGGUGAAUUCUUAUGGGUUUCCAGCAUAAUUGAUGUUCAGGACUGCACCAUCCACAGUAUGAACAGGCCAUAAAUAACAAAUGUAAGGUGGUGUUAAUGGAACAGCCAUCAAACAGAACCAUAGGCAUCACACUGUACCAUACCUGGAAUUCAUGACAUUGGUGUAUUAUAUUUUCAAAAUUAUAAUAAAAAGUAUCUUUCAAUUCCAGAGCGAAGUUAACGAAAGACGCGUGGUGCCUGUUCAAACACCUACAAAACGAACAAAAGUUACUAAUUAUAUUGUGAAGAAACGGAAUCCUUAUUGAUGCCGGGUUUUCAAAGUGGGUUGCGCCUCGACUCCUGCUGCAUAUUUUUAAGACAUCUAGAGGAGAAAUAAUCAACUCCGAAGAAUUUUCAUGGGCAUGUCAGCUGUUCCGUCAGCUGUUCUAUUUCGCGUGGCGUCGGACUGAGGAUGGAUGCUUAAAGCAAACCUUCUUGAAAUUUCACCACCGAUUUCGUGUGUUUUGAGCUGGAUAUUGUUAAUUCAAUCAAUGCAGAGUUGUUAAAGGUAUUAUGACAAAAAAUCCAUGUAAAAAAACAUUGUACCGUAUUUAAUUUGAAUUUUUAAAGAAGGAACAUGGCUUGGCUUUGCUAGCACGUUUUUUCCUCUUCGUUAGUCUAAUGCACCCAUUUGGUACCAUAGUUGAUUAUAAAGGAAGUAGUUCUUUAUGAUCUUUUUCCCUAUCUAGAUCUCUUAGGUUCUUGGAGGUGCCAUUAGGUGAUUUAGAAUUUAUUGUUAACAGUUUAAGUUUUUGUAAUUGUACUUUCAGGUCUUCGGGAUGUACCUGAUGUAUUGUGGUGGCAGCAGAAUCAUUCUGUGACAGAAAGGAAUGCCACCAUUGUUCUGUUGUCAGUUUAAUACAAGAUUUCCAGUAUUA
This is a long non-coding RNA of Daphnia magna, 1825 nucleotides long. RefSeq lists it as uncharacterized. Lineage: Eukaryota; Metazoa; Arthropoda; Branchiopoda; Diplostraca; Daphniidae. The transcript is spliced from 5 exons. The record is from RefSeq and is a predicted model, not a curated record.